RNAcentral lists this long non-coding RNA (442 nucleotides) under Marmota monax (woodchuck). Lineage: Eukaryota; Metazoa; Chordata; Mammalia; Rodentia; Sciuridae. The record is from RNAcentral.
UCAGGGAUUUUAGCUGCCAACCAAAGAAUAGAUUUACUCCAAGCUCAGGUAGAAGAAUUGGCUGACUUGGUGCUUUUGGGUUGUAUUGAUCAACGUGCACAUUUAUGUAUAACCUCUGUCAGAUUUAAUAAUUCCAGAAAUGCCUCCCGCAUCAUCGGAGAGUAUCUAUCCGGAACCUGGUCCAUGGCAGCGGAAGACAUGAUCCAGUCUCAACUAACCCAGAUAGCUGUCUUGAACAGUACUCGUGUCGAUCCUGUGACUUUGGGUCAAUUCACCGAUUGGAUAUCUUCUGCUUUUUCCUUCUUCAAAGAGUGGGUGGGAGUAGGCAUUUUUGGGGCAAUGUGUUGCUUCAGUGUUGUGCUUUGUUUGUGGCUUCUCUGUCGCCUUAAAACUCGCCAUGCACAAGAAAAGGCUAUGAUCAUACAAGCUCUUGCAGCUUUAG